CAGAGUUGCAAAACUCCCAACCAUUGUGAACCUACCUCACCGUUGCUUCGGCGGGUGGCCCGGGCAACCCAGGCCGCGCCGGCCCUCUCUUCGGGGGGCCCCGGCAAGCCCGUCAGAGGACCGAAACCCUGUAAGUACUGGCCUCUCUGAGUAACUUAUACAAUAAGUCA
RNAcentral lists this unclassified non-coding RNA (170 nucleotides) under soil metagenome. RNAcentral describes it as "partial internal transcribed spacer 1". The record is from RNAcentral.